RNAcentral lists this ribosomal RNA (619 nucleotides) under Escherichia coli. RNAcentral describes it as "partial 23S ribosomal RNA". It matches the Rfam family "Bacterial large subunit ribosomal RNA", at positions 574 to 1194 of the family's 2925-position model. Lineage: Bacteria; Pseudomonadati; Pseudomonadota; Gammaproteobacteria; Enterobacterales; Enterobacteriaceae. The record is from RNAcentral.
UGGGAGCACGCUUAGGCGUGUGACUGCGUACCUUUUGUAUAAUGGGUCAGCGACUUAUAUUCUGUAGCAAGGUUAACCGAAUAGGGGAGCCGAAGGGAAACCGAGUCUUAACUGGGCGUUAAGUUGCAGGGUAUAGACCCGAAACCCGGUGAUCUAGCCAUGGGCAGGUUGAAGGUUGGGUAACACUAACUGGAGGACCGAACCGACUAAUGUUGAAAAAUUAGCGGAUGACUUGUGGCUGGGGGUGAAAGGCCAAUCAAACCGGGAGAUAGCUGGUUCUCCCCGAAAGCUAUUUAGGUAGCGCCUCGUGAAUUCAUCUCCGGGGGUAGAGCACUGUUUCGGCAAGGGGGUCAUCCCGACUUACCAACCCGAUGCAAACUGCGAAUACCGGAGAAUGUUAUCACGGGAGACACACGGCGGGUGCUAACGUCCGUCGUGAAGAGGGAAACAACCCAGACCGCCAGCUAAGGUCCCAAAGUCAUGGUUAAGUGGGAAACGAUGUGGGAAGGCCCAGACAGCCAGGAUGUUGGCUUAGAAGCAGCCAUCAUUUAAAGAAAGCGUAAUAGCUCACUGGUCGAGUCGGCCUGCGCGGAAGAUGUAACGGGGCUAAACCAUGCAC